Molecule: non-coding RNA, 92 nt
Organism: Xylariaceae sp. FL1651
Lineage: Eukaryota; Fungi; Ascomycota; Sordariomycetes; Xylariales; Xylariaceae
Source: the annotation of a GenBank genome assembly
GGCCGCGUGGCUUAAUGGCAUAGCGCUUGACUACGAUUCAAAAAAAAUUUAUUGUUAUCAAGAGAUUCUGGGUUCGAUCCCCAGCGUGGUCA